Molecule: ribosomal RNA, 980 nt
Filed under: Vibrio parahaemolyticus
Lineage: Bacteria; Pseudomonadati; Pseudomonadota; Gammaproteobacteria; Vibrionales; Vibrionaceae
Description: partial 23S ribosomal RNA
Rfam family: Bacterial large subunit ribosomal RNA
Source: RNAcentral
AACAUCUAAGUACCCCGAGGAAAAGAAAUCAACCGAGAUUCCGAAAGUAGCGGCGAGCGAAAUUGGACUAGCCCUUAAGCUUUACACGCGUUAGACGAACGGUCUGGAAAGUCCGACGAUACAGGGUGAUAGUCCCGUAGUUGACGACGUGUGUUCAGUGAAAUCGAGUAGGGCGGGACACGUGAUAUCCUGUCUGAAUAUGGGGGGACCAUCCUCCAAGGCUAAAUACUACUGACUGACCGAUAGUGAACCAGUACCGUGAGGGAAAGGCGAAAAGAACCCCUGUGAGGGGAGUGAAAUAGAACCUGAAACCGUGUACGUACAAGCAGUAGGAGCAGGCUUUGUCCUGUGACUGCGUACCUUUUGUAUAAUGGGUCAGCGACUUAUAUUCAGUGGCAAGGUUAACCAUCUAGGGGAGCCGUAGGGAAACCGAGUCUUAACUGGGCGUUCAGUCUCUGGAUAUAGACCCGAAACCAGGUGAUCUAGCCAUGGGCAGGUUGAAGGUUGAGUAACAUCAACUGGAGGACCGAACCGACUAAUGUUGAAAAAUUAGCGGAUGACUUGUGGCUAGGGGUGAAAGGCCAAUCAAACCUGGAGAUAGCUGGUUCUCCCCGAAAGCUAUUUAGGUAGCGCCUCGGACGAAUACUACUGGGGGUAGAGCACUGUUAAGGCUAGGGGGUCAUCCCGACUUACCAACCCUUUGCAAACUCCGAAUACCAGUAAGUACUAUCCGGGAGACACACGGCGGGUGCUAACGUCCGUCGUGGAGAGGGAAACAACCCAGACCGCCAGCUAAGGUCCCAAAUUACUACUAAGUGGGAAACGAUGUGGGAAGGCUCAGACAGCCAGGAUGUUGGCUUAGAAGCAGCCAUCAUUUAAAGAAAGCGUAAUAGCUCACUGGUCGAGUCGGCCUGCGCGGAAGAUGUAACGGGGCUAAGUAGUAAACCGAAGCUGCGGCAAUGUGCUUUUGCACAUUGGGU